This 406-nucleotide ribosomal RNA is filed under the name uncultured bacterium. RNAcentral describes it as "partial 16S ribosomal RNA". It matches the Rfam family "Bacterial small subunit ribosomal RNA", at positions 28 to 526 of the family's 1533-position model. The record is from RNAcentral.
GACGAACGCUGGCGGCGUGCUUAACACAUGCAAGUCGAACGAGUGGCGAACGGGUGAGUAACGCGUAGGUAACUACCUAUUAGAGGGGGAUAACUAUUGGAAACGAUAGCUAAUACCGCAUACUAGUAGAUGGACCUGCGUUGUAUUAGCUAGUAGGUAGGGUAAUGGCCUACCUAGGCAACGAUACAUAGCCGACCUGAGAGGUGGAGCGUCCACACUUGGACUGAGUCACGGCCCAGACUCCUACGGGAGGCAGCAGUAGUGAAUCUUCGGCAAUGGGGGGAACCCUGACCAAGCAACGCCGCGUGAGUGAAGAAGGUUUUCGGAUCGUAAAGCUCUGUUGUUGAGGAAGCGGUACUUAACCAGAAAGGGACGGCUAACUACGUGCCAGCAGCCGCGGUAAUUC